GAGAGAGAGAGAGAGAGAGAGAGACAGGGAGAGAGAGACAGGCUGAGAGAGAUAGAGACAGGCUGAGAGAGAGAGACAGGCUGAGAGAGCUAGAGAGGCUGAGAGAGAGAGACAGGCUGAGAGAGAGAGGCUGAGAGAGAGAGAGAGGCUGAGAGAGAGAGAGAGAGACAGGCUGAGAGAGAGUGUGUGUCUGUGUGUUUCUCUGUGUUUGUGUGUCUCAGUGUAUAGGCCUAGUGUUAACCCAGCUCAGUGUAUAGGCCUAGUGUUAACCCAGCUCAGUGUAUAAAAGCUGUGUGAGUUUUCCACUUUGUGCCAUAGGACGAUUUGCCCUGGAGAGCUAUGGGCCAGUCAAAACCCAGCGUCCUGGAGCCCUCUCUAGAAUGCUGAACCAAUAGCGGAGCACCUCAGCCUCUGUUCCACCAACCUCAAAGCCCGCCCACUGGAGGUGCACCGUGGCAACCAGGUGAUG
Oncorhynchus tshawytscha (Chinook salmon) is the source of this 469-nucleotide long non-coding RNA. Lineage: Eukaryota; Metazoa; Chordata; Actinopteri; Salmoniformes; Salmonidae. The record is from Ensembl.